Molecule: long non-coding RNA, 341 nt
Organism: Scylla paramamosain (green mud crab)
Lineage: Eukaryota; Metazoa; Arthropoda; Malacostraca; Decapoda; Portunidae
Exons: 3
Source: RefSeq, a predicted model, not a curated record
CGGGACUGGUGGAAAGUGGUGAUGUGGGUCGUGCUCCACACACCGAGGACGGGACUUCCUCACAGAGCAGCCGAUCAAGAUAUAUAGUUUGGAAGGCCGCCAGCCAGCGCCCACCAGCGGCCCCAGUGCUCCUUGUACCUUCACUUGCGGCGUCCCCUCUCCCCUAUCCUCCUCAAAGUCCUUCAGCAUGUCAGUGCUGUCCAUCCUGAGACGCGGGGAUUUAGCAGACUGGGUCCUGGUUAGGCUGGUGGGUCCCUCAUGACGACUGAGAGGGACUAGAGUGCGGGCCUUUGUACCCUUCCCGCGAGGCAUGUCAUUCCUGCAAGGUGGGGAGGAACAGA